GCGGGUGUAGUUUAGUGGUAAAACCUCAGCCUUCCAAGCUGAUGAUGCGAGUUCGAUUCUCGCCACCCGCU
This 71-nucleotide transfer RNA is filed under the name Coleofasciculus sp. FACHB-1120. RNAcentral's name for it is "tRNA-Gly". It matches the Rfam family "tRNA". Rfam says of the family: Transfer RNA (tRNA) molecules are approximately 80 nucleotides in length. Their secondary structure includes four short double-helical elements and three loops (D, anti-codon, and T loops). The record is from RNAcentral. RNAcentral also lists the same sequence under 22 other names. Lineage: Bacteria; Bacillati; Cyanobacteriota; Cyanophyceae; Coleofasciculales; Coleofasciculaceae.